UACCAGCACCCCGAGUGGUCGGGACGUUUAUUGGGCCUAAAGCAUCCGUAGCCGGUUCUACAAGUCUUCCGUUAAAUCCACCUGCUCAACAGAUGGGCUGCGGAAGAUACUAUGGAGCUAGGAGGCGGGAGAGGCAAGCGGUACUCGAUGGGUAGGGGUAAAAUCCGUUGAUCCAUUGAAGACCACCAGUGGCGAAGGCGGCUUGCCAGAACGCGCUCGACGGUGAGGGAUGAAAGCUGGGGGAGCAAACAGG
Molecule: ribosomal RNA, 253 nt
Filed under: uncultured bacterium
Lineage: Bacteria
Description: partial 16S ribosomal RNA
Rfam family: Archaeal small subunit ribosomal RNA
Source: RNAcentral